Long non-coding RNA from Drosophila erecta, 232 nucleotides. RefSeq lists it as uncharacterized. The record is from RefSeq and is a predicted model, not a curated record. NCBI's taxonomy places the organism in Eukaryota, Metazoa, Arthropoda, Insecta, Diptera, Drosophilidae. The transcript has 3 exons.
CGUCGAGCUGCAAACUUUUCAGCUUGGCUUCCUGCCGCAUGUGCCCCUGAUUUUCGGAUUACAGCCUGUGGCAACUUAGCAGCUCCUCCCCCGUCGUCAUGGCUGACAACCCUUGCAGAAACUUUAGACGGGCAAAAGGAACAUGUAACGCACCGAAACGCUCUUGUAACUCGCUAUCCAUGCCACUCCGCCCCCCGCUGCCGUCCGGAAAAGUACGUGCCACGCCCACAUG